GAGAGAGAGAGAAAGAGAGAGAUCUACGGGACUUACUAUUCAGGAUUCAUGACGGUGAGGUCGACAGGGAUCAGACCGGUCCAGGCGGGAAGUGAAUUGGAAAUUGCAGGUAGAAGCGACGAGGGUGGUAGAGAGAGAGAGAGGACAGAAAGGAGACAGCAAAGACGGGAUUUUCACAAAGAAACAGAAGGAGGAGAGAAAUUGAAUGUAAGGAAGUGGUCAUGAAACCGAUAACUUCGGAACGAUGUAAUGUUUGUAAAUCUGGCCCGUCCAAAUCCAGCCUUUAAA
RNAcentral lists this unclassified non-coding RNA (288 nucleotides) under Hevea brasiliensis (rubber tree). The record is from RNAcentral. Lineage: Eukaryota; Viridiplantae; Streptophyta; Magnoliopsida; Malpighiales; Euphorbiaceae.